RNAcentral lists this non-coding RNA (156 nucleotides) under pig gut metagenome. The record is from RNAcentral.
UGGAAUUUAGAAGUACUUAAUGUUCUGGUAGAAAACCAGAAAUACCUGAACACGAUGUUCAGGUAAGACGCCACUGAGCCAUGGAUGGCGAAUUGGCGGCGGUUUCGUACGAUAUAGAUAUGGAAGGACAGAACAUUUAGUACUUCUUAAUUUCGA